Non-coding RNA from Macaca mulatta (Rhesus monkey), 1644 nucleotides. Lineage: Eukaryota; Metazoa; Chordata; Mammalia; Primates; Cercopithecidae. The record is from RefSeq and is a predicted model, not a curated record.
GUCUCAAACCCAUGGGCUGAAGCAGCCCUCCCGCCUUGGCCUCCCAGAGUAUUGGGAUUACAGGUGUGAGGCACUGCACCCGGCCUCUCUUGCAUGUUGAGUGGUUCUUUUACCCAGGCAUCAUAGCAUGACACCCUGUGCCAUUAGUCACAUGAGAAGCAUAGCUUCCUGAGUUGUGCAGAUCUUCCAAAUGGGGGCACCUUUCGUUUGACAAUAUUUUUUUAAAAUCUGCAUUUGUGAUCUCUCAGGGAGAGCUUGGAGCAUCAGGACUCUUUUAAGCUCACAGCGGCAAGUUGACAGGCUUACAUCAUUCAUUUUUCAUCAAACGUCUGCCAAAUACCCAACACUGAAUAACUAGCUUCCCCAGCACUCUUGCAAGUGGAAAGGGUGUUCUGUGAAAACAGCAGCUAUUUCGGCUCACAGCACUGAGCGCUCCCCACGUGCUUUCCCUGAGCCAGCUGUCAUUCUGCAGCAGAGACCGGGAGAAUGUCAAGAACACAAGCACUCAAGAAUGGAAAUAAUUCAAACGUCCUUCAGCUUGAGAGUGGUUAAACAAACUGGCACAUCUGAUUCCUCCUCAGCAAUGAAACAGAAGGGACUGUUGACUCACACAGUGCUGUGGUUGGAUCUCAAGGGCAUUGUACUAAGAAAAAGCCAAUUCUAUAAGGAGGUGUACUGUGUGAUUCCAUUUCUAAAUGACACCCUCAAAAUGCCAGCCGCAGAGGGAGGGCGGGUCAGUGUUGCACAGAGCAGCAGGAGGCAGCAGGAGGCCGUCCUCUGUGGUAAUGGAGAGUACUUGGCCAGGGCCGCUGUGGUGGUACAAGAAUCUACACAUGUGACAAAUGCCAUAGAAUUAGACCCAAAGAAUGCCUGUGAAAGGUGCUGAAAUCCAGUGGGGUUUGCAGCCUGAUUCAUUCUGUAGUGAAAUCUAGUGAGGUCUACAUUCUGGUUCACUCCAUAUUGAAAUCCAGUGGGGUCUGCAGCCUGGUUCAGUCUAGUGAAAUCCAGUGGGGUCUGCAGCCUGGUUCACUCAGUAGUGAAAUCCAGUGGGGUCUGCAGCCUGGUUCACUCAGUAGUGAAAUCCAGUGGGGUCUGCAGCCUGGUUCACUCUAGUGAAAUCCAGCGGGGUCUGCAGCCUGGUUCACUCUAGUGAAAUCCAGUGGGGUCUACAGCCUGGUUCACUCAGUAGUGAAACCCAGUGAGGUCUGCAGCCUGGUUCAUUCUGUAGUGAAAUCCAGUGAGGUUUACAGCCCGGUUCACUCUGUAGUGAAAUCCAGUGAGGUUUACAGCCUGGUUCACUCAGUAGUGAAAUCCAGUGAGGUCUGCAGCCUGGUUCAUUCUGUAGUGAAAUCCAGUGAGGUCUGCAGCCUGGUUCAUUCUGUAGUGAAAUCCAGUGGGGUUUACAGCCCGGUUCACUCUGUAGUGAAAUCCAGUGGGGUCUGCAGCCUGGGUCACUGUAUGGUACCAAUGUCAGCUUCCUGUGUUACAUGAGAUGGCAUAGUUGGGUGAAGCUGGUGAUGAAGGUAGGUGACCCCUCUACUAUUUUUACAACUUCUUGUGAGUCUAUAAACAUUUCACAAUUAAAAAACCAAAAAAGUGUACUCAGGAGCUGAAUUUAAUAAAAUGAACACUUUUGACUACUUU